This 361-nucleotide ribosomal RNA is filed under the name uncultured bacterium. RNAcentral's name for it is "bacterial SSU rRNA". It matches the Rfam family "Bacterial small subunit ribosomal RNA", at positions 28 to 384 of the family's 1533-position model. The record is from RNAcentral.
GAUGAACGCUAGCGGCAGGCUUAAUACAUGCAAGUCGUGGGGCAGCAGGUUUGUAGCAAUACAGAUGCUGGGCGACCGGCAAACGGGUGCGGAACACGUACAGAACCUUCCUUUGAGCGGGGAAUAGCCCAGAGAAAUUUGGAUUAAUACCCCAUAGUAUAAUGAAGUGGCAUCACUUUAUUAUUAAGAUUUAUCACUCGAAGAUGGCUGUGCGGCUGAUUAGGUAGUUGGCGGGGUAAGGCCACCAAGCCUGCGAUCAGUAACUGGUGUGAGAGCACGACCAGUCACACGGGCACUGAGACACGGGCCCGACUCCUACGGGAGGCAGCAGUAAGGAAUAUUGGUCAAUGGAGGCAACUCU